UACGGAGGGUGCAAGCGUUAUCCGGAUUCACUGGGCUUAAAGGGUGCGUAGGUGGGCAGGUAAGUCAGUGGUGAAAUCUCCGGGCUUAACCCGGAAACUGCCAUUGAUACUAUCAGUCUUGAAUACCGUGGAGGUAAGCGGAAUAUGUCAUGUAGCGGUGAAAUGCUUAGAUAUGACAUAGAACACCAAUUGCGAAGGCAGCUUACUAGCCGAAUAUUGACACUGAGGCACGAAAGCGUGGGGAUCAAACAGG
Molecule: ribosomal RNA, 253 nt
Filed under: uncultured bacterium
Lineage: Bacteria
Description: partial 16S ribosomal RNA
Rfam family: Bacterial small subunit ribosomal RNA
Source: RNAcentral